This 258-nucleotide long non-coding RNA is filed under the name Sus scrofa (pig). RNAcentral's name for it is "lncRNA (ENSSSCG00015081212.1, ENSSSCG00025038887.1)". Lineage: Eukaryota; Metazoa; Chordata; Mammalia; Artiodactyla; Suidae. The record is from RNAcentral.
CUUAAAGCCUCAGCUCAAUUGCCACAUUGCAGUUUAUUUAAAACUACUUCAUAGCACUGUGGUUAAUUUUACGUUCAUCUCUUCUCCUAGAUGGAGGGCAAGAGGAUUCUGUAGAACUAGAGGACACCAGAGCAGUCAGAGAGAAGAAUUAAAAAGAACUCUCUGGAGGAAGCAAGAACUGUUCUUGACCCCUAUUUACAGUUCAUUCUGUCCAAAUUGAAACAGAGGUGAGUAUAAAAUCAUAGCAAGGGGAGCUGG